Paxillus rubicundulus Ve08.2h10 is the source of this 72-nucleotide non-coding RNA. The record is from the annotation of a GenBank genome assembly. NCBI's taxonomy places the organism in Eukaryota, Fungi, Basidiomycota, Agaricomycetes, Boletales, Paxillaceae.
GACUGGUAGCUCAGUUGGAAGAGUGCUACUGUACUAUGCUGUUGGCCACAGGUUCAAUCCCUGUCUAGUACA